CCCGGAUAAUUGAAGUCUCGGCUGCAUCAUCAAGCUUCAACAUUGUUGAUUCAUCAUAUAAAUUGUAGAUUUUUCAAGAUUGGCUCAUUAAGUCACACGGUUUCAUGCCUUGACGCAUAGUAUGAAUCAUUAUGGUUUAGUCGAAGUCUACAUCAAAUCAAGCUAGGAAGUCUAGAAACUCAC
Long non-coding RNA from Helianthus annuus (common sunflower), 183 nucleotides. RefSeq lists it as uncharacterized. Lineage: Eukaryota; Viridiplantae; Streptophyta; Magnoliopsida; Asterales; Asteraceae. The record is from RefSeq and is a predicted model, not a curated record. The transcript is spliced from 3 exons.